AUCCAGCUGACGAGUUACAAAUAGGACGAAACGCACGUACUGGAA
Schistosoma mattheei is the source of this 45-nucleotide non-coding RNA. NCBI's taxonomy places the organism in Eukaryota, Metazoa, Platyhelminthes, Trematoda, Strigeidida, Schistosomatidae. The record is from Rfam.